RNAcentral lists this ribosomal RNA (253 nucleotides) under uncultured bacterium. Its description in RNAcentral is "partial 16S ribosomal RNA". It matches the Rfam family "Bacterial small subunit ribosomal RNA", at positions 524 to 776 of the family's 1533-position model. The record is from RNAcentral.
UACGAAGGGGGCUAGCGUUGCUCGGAAUCACUGGGCGUAAAGCGCACGUAGGCGGACUCUUAAGUCGGUGGUGAAAUCCUGGAGCUCAACUCCAGAACUGCCUUCGAUACUGGGAGUCUCGAGUCCGGGAGAGGUGAGUGGAACUGCGAGUGUAGAGGUGAAAUCCGUAGAUAUUCGCAAGAACACCAGUGGCGAAGGCGGCUCACUGGCCCGGUACUGACGCUGAGGUGCGAAAGCGUGGGGAGCAAACAGG